AACUCUCUUCGGAAAACACAAACACACCUAGUUUCUACACAUCGCUUCCAUCAUCUGCUCUGCCCUAGUUCUACCAAUUAAUUUCUCAUCUCCUCAGAUUCUUCUCUUGUUCAUCAAAAACCUCUCAAGGUUCAAUAUGAAACCAUCAAAGACUGAAAAUGAGGUGGGAUCAACUAUGAAGACUACUACCAGAUAUGCAUUCGUUGCGCCAGGUGCUAUAGGUGCUAUAGGAAAGGGACGAAGACGAGGAGUGCUUAGAUCUUUGAUUGAGAAAGAGAAUAUGCCAACUAAGAGUUUAUUUCCUCAAUCUAGUGAUAUAGUUAAGCAAUACAUCCAAGAAAUUGAAACAAGGAAGGGACGAGGACAAGGGCUUAAAAGCUCUACGAGGUCUGCUAGUCAAGGAAUGGGAAUGAUACAUAACAAUUCCAUGGUUCUUGAGAAAAAGUAUAUGCAAUUUGAUGGUCCAUUGCCUCCAUCUGUUGAUCAAGUUAAGCAAUAUACCCAAAAAGUUGAAAUAAGUGCUCCAGGGAUGGGACGAGGACAAAGUCUUAAAAACUCUACAGUGUCUGCUAGUCAAGGAAUGGGAAUGAUACAUAAAAAUUCCAUGGUUCUUGAGAAAGAGUAUAUGCAAUUUGAUAGUCCAUUGCCUUCAUCCACUGAUCAAGUUAAGCAAUACACUCAAAAAGUUUAAAUAACGGUCAAGAGGUGGAGUCGUUAAUGUUGGAUAAUGCACUUUUUAGAGAAACUCUACAAUCGAAUCACUCCAAAGAAUCAGCUAUUCAUAUUGAAUCUAAAGAGGAUUUCAACUCUUGGACGGAUUCAACUUUGUUAAAAGAGAAUUUGUUUCCUAAGAUGGGUAAACACAAGGAUAGACCAAAGAGGAAAUCAAAUGCCAAUAUUACGAACAAGGAUCACCCCUCCAGCAGCAAAUAUUGUUCUGAUGAGCACUCGUUACAAGGCUCACAUAGGACAGCGAUUGAAGAACUGAAUUUUCCCUGCAUCGCUUAAACCCAAGAAGAGAAGUUCUGAAUUUUCAGAAACUUCUCGCAGAAGUCAUAGAUCGAUGAAGAAGAACAAUUAUGGGGAUCUUGUGGAUAUUAUUUCGGGUUCAGAUAAACAGAAAUCCCGAAUACCAGCUCAUCAGGAACCUGAAUCUUCAACUCAAUUUUACAACUUGGAUGUUGAAAUGCCUGAGUCUCUGUGAACAACAGGCAUGGAUCUUGUUUUAACUGCUAUGAGUCGGAGCCAAGUAGCAUAGACCUAGAUGGUAUUAAGGAAACUGAAGUCAACAGACUUCUUGUUAAUGGUGAUCAGAGUUUACAUGUCGAAGGUGCCUCGUCUAACUUCACUGGAAAUCAACAAGAGCCAUGCCCAGCUGUUGAUGGGGUCUAAAAUGAGAGUGAUAAUAUGUGCAAAUUGUCUACAUCAACCGCAUUAUCCUGUGUCAUAUGUUGGACAGAUUUUAGUUCAUCCAGGGGGCGCUUCCCUGUGGUCAUCGUUUUUGUUUCUCAUGCCUCCAGACGUGGGCCAAUCGUACGGUAUCAAGCAGAAAAUUUUCAGCAUGCCUUCUGUGCAAGGCUAGUUUUGUUGCCAUUAGAAAGGUUGAUGAUGCAAUUCCUGUUGAUCAGAAGAUAUACACCCAAACUAUUCCGGACCACAACCCAGAAAUGGACAUAUAUAUACUUCCCAUGGGUGAAACACCAAGAUUCCCUUCUAAUGUAAUUUCAAUGGCAGUUUUCAUUCUAUUCUGUAUGGUGGAGAACAUUACCUCCUGUUUGUUUGUGUUGUAAUAGAUGUGAAUAUCUAUAUCUCAUCAUUGCCAUCGAAGGACAUGUAUUACCGUAAUAUUGGUUACCUUUUCUGCAUCCAUGUGACUUCUCUUCCUACAGGUGCAGACAAAAGUCAAAUGCAUGAAUAGCCUAUUCCCCUUUUGGUGUAAUGAGCGUGACUGGGACAUAUUAGUUUCCUGUAUCAAGCUAUUCAAUGUUAUAGAUCAAAGCGAGAAGCAACAGGAAUGCAGCAAAUCGAGCUAAGUUAAAGAUGCCUCAUCAUAUUGGUAGCAAGCAUAUUCGAGAGAUUAUUUAUCAAAAGCCUUGAUGUUUUUGCUGGAUGACAUCUAAUGAAUUUAUUAGAUUGCUUUUGGGGUUUUGAAGAUUGAAUUUGACAAGUCAAGAUGGAAGUUUAGAAGAUGCACAAGCUCAUUAUUUUGCUAGGAAUGUUAUGCACUCGCUAUCGUAGUCUAGCUCGAGUGUUAGCAAUGUUUUUUUGUUAAGGUGUCGAGCAAAUAUUGAAACUAACAUCAUGGGAUGUUAACAAUUUUACUGUAAUUAAUAACUCUAUCUUCCUCUUUA
Lycium barbarum (goji berry) is the source of this 2351-nucleotide RNA transcript. RefSeq lists it as uncharacterized. NCBI's taxonomy places the organism in Eukaryota, Viridiplantae, Streptophyta, Magnoliopsida, Solanales, Solanaceae. The transcript is spliced from 11 exons. The record is from RefSeq and is a predicted model, not a curated record.